Molecule: transfer RNA, 74 nt
Filed under: Phaeodactylum tricornutum CCAP 1055/1
Lineage: Eukaryota; Bacillariophyta; Bacillariophyceae; Surirellales; Neidiaceae
Description: tRNA-Thr for anticodon UGU
Rfam family: tRNA
About the family: Transfer RNA (tRNA) molecules are approximately 80 nucleotides in length. Their secondary structure includes four short double-helical elements and three loops (D, anti-codon, and T loops).
Source: Rfam by way of RNAcentral
GCUUCCAUAGCUCAGUUGGUUAGAGCACUCCAUUCGUAAUGGAGAGGUCGGGUGUUCGAAUCUCCCUGGAAGCU